RNAcentral lists this ribosomal RNA (440 nucleotides) under uncultured bacterium. RNAcentral describes it as "partial 16S ribosomal RNA". It matches the Rfam family "Bacterial small subunit ribosomal RNA", at positions 338 to 795 of the family's 1533-position model. The record is from RNAcentral.
CCUACGGGGGGCAGCAGUGGGGAAUAUUGCACAAUGGGGGAAACCCUGAUGCAGCGACGCCGCGUGAGUGAAGAAGUAAUUCGUUAUGUAAAGCUCUAUCAGCAGGGAAGAAAAUGACGGUACCUGUGUAAGAAGCCCCGGCUAACUACGUGCCAGCAGCCGCGGUAAUACGGAGGGGGCAAGCGUUAUCCGGAUUUACUGGGUGUAAAGGGAGCGUAGACGGCAUGGCAAGUCAGGAGUGAAAGGCGGGGGCUCAACCCCCGGACUGCACUUGAAACUGGACGGCUGGAGUGCAGGAGAGGUAAGUGGAAUUCCUAGUGUAGCGGUGAAAUGCGUAGAUAUUAGGAGGAACACCAGUGGCGAAGGCGGCUUACUGGACUGUAACUGACGUUGAGGCUCGAAAGCGUGGGGAGCAAACAGGAUUAGAUACCCCUGUAGUC